RNAcentral lists this ribosomal RNA (894 nucleotides) under uncultured bacterium. RNAcentral describes it as "bacterial SSU rRNA". It matches the Rfam family "Bacterial small subunit ribosomal RNA", at positions 21 to 901 of the family's 1533-position model. The record is from RNAcentral.
GGCUCAGGACGAACGCUGGCGGCGCGCUUACACAUGCAAGUCGAGCGAGAACCUGGGCUUCGGCCCUGGGGACAGCGGCGAACGGGUGAGUAACACGUGGGUAAUCUGCCCUUGACAUCGGGAUAGCCCGGGGAAACCCGGAUUAAUACCGAAUAGCCUCCGGAGCCUUCGGGCGCCGGAGAAAAGGUAGCUUCGGCCUCUGGUCAAGGAUGAGCCCGCGGCGGAUUAGCUUGUUGGCGGGGUAAUGGCCCACCAAGGCGACGAUCCGUAGCUGGUCUGAGAGGACGAUCAGCCACACUGGGACUGAGACACGGCCCAGACUCCUACGGGAGGCAGCAGUGGGGAAUCUUGCGCAAAUGCGGGAAACCGUGACGCAGCGACGCCGCGUGGGGGAAGAAGGCCUUCGGGUUGUAAACCUCUUUCAGGAGGGACGAAGCUACUCGGGUUAAUAGCCCAGAGGGUGACGGUACCUUCAGAAGAAGCCCCGGCUAACUACGUGCCAGCAGCCGCGGUAAUACGUAGGGGGCAAGCGUUGUCCGGAUUUAUUGGGCGUAAAGAGCGUGUAGGCGGCUUGGCAAGUCUGCUGUGAAAACUCGAGGCUCAACCUCGAGCUGUCGGCGGAAACUGCUUGGCUAGAGUCCGGAAGAGGAGAGUGGAAUUCCUGGUGUAGCGGUGAAAUGCGCAGAUAUCAGGAAGAACACCUAUGGCGAAGGCAGCUCUCUGGGACGGUACUGACGCUGAGACGCGAAAGCGUGGGGAGCGAACAGGAUUAGAUACCCUGGUAGUCCACGCCGUAAACGAUGGGUGCUAGGUGUGGGCGGUGUCGACUCCGUCCGUGCCGAAGCUAACGCAUUAAGCACCCCGCCUGGGGAGUACGGCCGCAAGGCUAAAACU